GACGAAGAGGAUGCGGAGGAUGUCGAAGACUUUGAGGAUAAAUAUUAUCAUAUACUGACAGUCCUCAACGAGGCAAUUAAUCGUAUAUCCUCGCCCUCGUCUGAAUCUCCUGCCGCCGCAUCAUGUCAAAAUAACUUUAAGGCUAAGUUGCCUACUAUAAAGAUAGAUGUGUUUACGGAUUCGUACACGUCACGGGCGUACCAGUUGGAGCGAGAUGACACCAAGGACCCAACUAUCACCGAGUUCCUCUUGUACCUGGAGAAGCGAGCCUUGGCACUGGAGAAUGCUGAGCCGUCCACGUCGGGGAAGUCUCAACACAAGGCUGUGGUAAAUGUGACAGCGACCGCCUCGACUGCCUGCAACUAUUGUCCUGCUUCUGGAGCCGGUCCCUGGGCAGCAGCAGGAGUCAGAUGAAGACCCAGCGAGUCCUCAUCCUACAAUUGUAAAUACUAAGCUUGGCUACAUCAUCGGUGGUGCUUUAUCACGACAGCAAACCAGUGACAAAAGUAAGGUAACACUUUUAUGUACUCAAUGUGACUCAAGUCUUAACGAGAGUCUACAAAACUUUUGGAAAGCAGAAAGUGUUCCUGAACCCUUCUGUGAAGGCAUGUCUGAGCAUGAACAGUGUGAACGCUUAUUUCAAGACACAACUGUUUUGAAGGACAACAAGUUUCAGGUUGAUUUGCCAUUAAAAAUCCCUUUGAGUGAAGUCAAUGAUGUGCUUGGAAGCUCAUUUGAUAUGGCUUAUUACAGGUUCAUUAGCCUCGAAAAAAGAUUGCACAAAAAUAUAAAUUUGCUAUCCGAUUAUGAAAAGUUCAUCGAUGAAUAUGUUGACUUGAAGCAUGGGCACUAUAUUGAUUUCAAUCAAUUGGAUUUUGAGAAUGAUCCUCUAUAUUUUGCAUCCCACCAUUGUGUAAUUAAUGACUCAAGCAAAACUACGCGUACUCGUGUGGUUUUUGACUGCUCUUUGCAAUCUAACAAAAAGGUAUCUCUAAAUGAUAUUUUGCUAAAUGGAGGUCCGGUACAAAAGGAGUUGUUUGACAUAAUGCUUUUGUUCCGGCUAGGCGACUAUA
Molecule: long non-coding RNA, 1073 nt
Organism: Leguminivora glycinivorella
Lineage: Eukaryota; Metazoa; Arthropoda; Insecta; Lepidoptera; Tortricidae
Exons: 3
Source: RefSeq, a predicted model, not a curated record